RNAcentral lists this ribosomal RNA (301 nucleotides) under uncultured bacterium. RNAcentral describes it as "partial 16S ribosomal RNA". It matches the Rfam family "Bacterial small subunit ribosomal RNA", at positions 509 to 807 of the family's 1533-position model. The record is from RNAcentral.
CAGCAGCCACGGUAAUACGUAGGUGGCAAGCGUUGUCCGGAAUUAUUGGGCGUAAAGGGCUCGCAGGCGGUUUCUUAAGUCUGAUGUGAAAGCCCCCUGCUCAACCGGGGAGGGUCAUUGGAAACUGGGAAACUUGAGUGCAGAAGAGGAGAGUGGAAUUCCACGUGUAGCGGUGAAGUGCGUAGAGAUGUGGAGGAACACCAGUGGCGAAGGCGACUCUCUGGUCUGUAACUGACGCUGAGGAGCGAAAGCGUGGGGAGCGAACAGGAUUAGAGACCCCUGUAGUCCCUGUCUCUUAUAC